AAUGAACGCUGGCGGCAUGCCUAACACAUGCAAGUCGAACGGAGGCCCUGGCUUGCCAGGUGUCCUUAGUGGCGGACGGGUGAGUAACGCGUGGGAACCUGCCUUUGAGUGGGGAACAACAGUUGGAAACGACUGCUAAUACCGCAUACGUCCCCAUAGAAAUAUGGGUGAGAAAGGCUUCGGCCGCUCUUAGAUGGUCCCGCGUCUGAUUAGCUAGUUGGUAGGGUAAUGGCCUACCAAGGCGACGAUCAGUAGCUGGUUUGAGAGGAUGAUCAGCCACACUGGGACUGAGACACGGCCCAG
This 303-nucleotide ribosomal RNA is filed under the name uncultured bacterium. RNAcentral describes it as "bacterial SSU rRNA". It matches the Rfam family "Bacterial small subunit ribosomal RNA", at positions 29 to 334 of the family's 1533-position model. The record is from RNAcentral.